GCCUGGCUGGCUCAAUUGGAGGAGCAUGUGACUCUUGAUCUCCAGGUUGUGAGUUCAAACCCCACUUUGGGUA
This 73-nucleotide transfer RNA is filed under the name Canis lupus familiaris (dog). It matches the Rfam family "tRNA". Rfam says of the family: Transfer RNA (tRNA) molecules are approximately 80 nucleotides in length. RNAcentral also lists the same sequence under 1 other name. Lineage: Eukaryota; Metazoa; Chordata; Mammalia; Carnivora; Canidae. The record is from Rfam by way of RNAcentral.